RNAcentral lists this ribosomal RNA (371 nucleotides) under uncultured prokaryote. RNAcentral's name for it is "bacterial SSU rRNA". It matches the Rfam family "Bacterial small subunit ribosomal RNA", at positions 524 to 896 of the family's 1533-position model. The record is from RNAcentral.
UACGAAGGGGGCUAGCGUUGUUCGGAAUUACUGGGCGUAAAGCGCGCGUAGGCGGCUAUGCAAGUCAGAGGUGAAAGGCCUGGGCUUAACCCGGGAGUGGCCUUUGAGACUGCGUGGCUUGAGAGUGGGAGAGGAUGGUGGAAUUCCCAGUGUAGAGGUGAAAUUCGUAGAUAUUGGGAAGAACACCGGUUGCGAAGGCGGCCAUCUGGCCCACCACUGACGCUGAAGCGCGAAAGCGUGGGGAGCAAACAGGAUUAGAUACCCUGGUAGUCCACGCCAUAAACGAUGAGUGCUAGUUGUUGGGGGGAAGACCCUCAGUGACGCCGCUAACGCAUUAAGCACUCCGCCUGGGGAGUACGGCCGCAAGGUUA